UUUGACUAUUUGGUAAACAAAAGGAAGUAUACAGAACUUCAUUCUAAUAAGAUGGAUGCUACAUUCUUAUUCCGAUCUAGAUUCCUAUCCUCGAUUACAACAGGGCUCUGAUUUUAUUAGGAGAGAUUGCUUUCUUUGUUCUCUCUUCCAUUCAGAAUGGAGGAGUUGAAUCCACGGUCGAGAGGGAAUAUUGUCCGCAAAGACGAAAUCAUUCGAAAAUGGAAUGUAGCGCGCAUUGUCCUUAGCAUCAGUGAACAUCAAUCAU
This 265-nucleotide long non-coding RNA is filed under the name Bemisia tabaci. RNAcentral's name for it is "lncRNA ENSASIAIIG004670". Lineage: Eukaryota; Metazoa; Arthropoda; Insecta; Hemiptera; Aleyrodidae. The record is from RNAcentral.